AGUUAACGUUGGCGGCGUGCCUAACACAUGCAAGUCGAACGCGUCCUAAGGGCAACUUUAGGAUGAGUGGCGAACGGGUGAGUAUCACGUGGGUAAUCUUCCUUCAAGUGGGGAAUAAGCUCUCGAAAGGGAGUCUAAUACCGCAUGACAUUCCGGGACACAAGUCCCGUAAUCAAAGCCGCAAGGCGCUUGAAGAUGAGCCUGCGUCCUAUUAGCUAGUUGGUGGGGUAACGGCCUACCAAGGCUUAGAUGGGUAGCCGGCCUGAGAGGGUGAACGGCCACACUGGGACUGAGACACGGCCCAGACUCCUACGGGAGGCAGCAGUGAGGAAUUUUGCGCAAUGGGGGAAACCCUGACGCAGCGACGCCGCGUGGAGGAUGAAGGCCUUCGGGUCGUAAACUCCUGUCAGAGGUGAAGAAUACCGCAAGGUUGACGGUAACCUCAGAGGAAGCCCGGCUAACUACGUGCCAGCAGCCGCGGUAAAGUCACGUCG
RNAcentral lists this ribosomal RNA (494 nucleotides) under uncultured bacterium. Its description in RNAcentral is "bacterial SSU rRNA". It matches the Rfam family "Bacterial small subunit ribosomal RNA", at positions 29 to 530 of the family's 1533-position model. The record is from RNAcentral.